UAACAAAAACAUUUAUAUUUAUAUAUCCCGAAAACAGAAGAGCUAAGAUUUUAUAUAUAUUAAUGUAAAAUAAUUAUUUAAAAUAAAAUUUUUGUAAUUAUACGUUAGUCGAGUUGGUUUAUAUCUGGUUUUUAAAGAAAUUAAUUUAAUUAAGCUUAAAUAUUGUUGUUUUUAAAUUUUAAAUUACAAUUAUAUUUAAAGUAAUAUUGAAGGGGAAAAGCUUUUUAAUAUAUUUUUAUAAUUUAAGUUUAUAAUUUUUGUUAUUGGAUUAAUGGUGUCCAUUAUUUAAAGUGUGUAAAAACUUAAAAAUAGUUUUUUAGAUUUUUUUUUUAUUUAGUUUUUUAUUUAAAAUUUCAAUUUAACAGUUCAAUUGAAGAUACAAUGAUAGAAUUAGUAUAAUUUAAUUUUUAAAAUUGUUAAAUUUAAAAGAUUAAUAAAAGGAACUAGGCAACCAGUCUUCUUGCCUGUUUAAUAAAAACAUGUCCUUUUGAUUUUAUUUAAGGUCCGGCCUGCCCACUGAUGAAUUUAAAUGGCCGCGGUAUUUUGACCGUGCAAAGGUAGCAUAAUCAUUAGUUUUUUAAUUGAAAGCUUGCAUGAACGGUCUCACAAGGAAGAAUCUGUCUCUUUUUAAUUUUCCUAGAAUUUUAUUUUUUAGUUAAAAAGCUAAAAUAUAUUUAAGGGACGAGAAGACCCUAUAGAAUUUUACAUUUAAUUAGUAUUUUUAAUUUAAGAAUUUAACUUAAUUAUAUUUUUAUUUGUUUUGCUGGGGUGGUAAGAAAAUUUAUGAAACUUUUCUUUAAAUUUAUCAUUAAUUAAUGAUUAAAUGAUCCAUAAUUUGUGAUUUUAAGACCAAAUUACCUUAGGGAUAACAGCGUAAUUAAAUUGAAGAGCUCUAAUCGAUAAUUUAGAUUGCGACCUCGAUGUUGGAUUAAAAUAAACUUUAGGCGGAGAGGCUUAAAAGUUAAGUCUGUUCGACUUUUAAAAUUUU
Molecule: ribosomal RNA, 988 nt
Filed under: Sphaenognathus alticollis
Lineage: Eukaryota; Metazoa; Arthropoda; Insecta; Coleoptera; Lucanidae
Description: partial 16S ribosomal RNA
Rfam family: Archaeal large subunit ribosomal RNA (bases 865-988)
Source: RNAcentral